RNAcentral lists this ribosomal RNA (406 nucleotides) under uncultured bacterium. RNAcentral's name for it is "partial 16S ribosomal RNA". It matches the Rfam family "Bacterial small subunit ribosomal RNA", at positions 30 to 526 of the family's 1533-position model. The record is from RNAcentral.
AUUGAACGCUGGCGGCAGGCCUAACACAUGCAAGUCGAACGAGUGGCGGACGGGUGAGUAAUGUCUGGGAAACUGCCUGAUGGAGGGGGAUAACUACUGGAAACGGUAGCUAAUACCGCAUACCAUCAGAUGUGCCCAGUUGGGUUUAGCUAGUUGGUGGGGUAACGGCUCACACAGGCGACGAUCCCUAGCUGGUCUGAUAGGAUGACCAGCCACACUGGAACUGAGACACGGUCCAGACUACUACGGGAGGCAGCAGUGGGGAAUAUUGCACAAGGUGCGGAAGGCUGAUGCAGCCAUGCCGCGUGUAUGAAGAAGGCCUUCGGGUUUGAAAGGACUGUCAGCGGGGAGGCGUUACCCGAAGAAGAAGCACCGGCUAACUCCGUGCCAGCAGCCGCGGUAAUAC